UACGUAGGUGGCAAGCGUUGUCCGGAUUUACUGGGCGUAAAGAGCGCGCAGGCGGUCGUUCAAGUCGCGUGUGAAAGCCCCCGGCUCAACUGGGGAGGGUCACGCGAUACUGAUCGACUCGAAGGCAGGAGAGGGAAGUGGAAUUCCCGGUGUAGUGGUGAAAUGCGUAGAUAUCGGGAGGAACACCAGUGGCGAAGGCGACUUCCCGGCCUGUUCUUGACGCUGAGGCGCGAAAGCUAGGGGAGCAAACGGG
RNAcentral lists this ribosomal RNA (253 nucleotides) under uncultured bacterium. RNAcentral's name for it is "partial 16S ribosomal RNA". It matches the Rfam family "Bacterial small subunit ribosomal RNA", at positions 524 to 776 of the family's 1533-position model. The record is from RNAcentral.